AAAAGGUUGGGGUAAAAGGUUCCGUUGGUUUAAUGCAAGGGAACACAUCACACCUUAAAUUCUGGGGGCUUAGUUGGUAACAUGGGGGAGUGGCAUGAGUAGGUAGCAGUGUGUAAGGGAGAAAAAAACCAAUCCUUUUUCUGUAUUUCAAUUUUGUUAAGCUUCAUUUCAGGCUUCCAGAAUUGAGAAUCAGUUGCCUGCUACAAGAAAUUGCUAAUAAGCAGUAGUAAUUAAAGACUGAGAAUUUAUUCUUUCCUUUCCAAACCUGAUGUCACUCCCAGAUGGAGAGAUGAGUACCGGUUAGGCAAUUCAGCAUUUUGGUAAAUUAAGGCAGCAGGAUUUGGUGUCUCCUCGAUCGUGUGGAGGCAGAAAGUAUUCUAGGAAGAAACACUUGUGUUUUAUUUCGUGUGCCCAUUGCAAUCAUUUACAAAUUUUUGCUUUGCUUUACAAAACCAGGAGAUGAGGUGGGCACUUGCAUCUUAAAAAUGAGGGCUGGGACUCUAAAGACACUAAUUCAUAAACUUUUCAUAUUGUUAUGUCUUUGGGAUUGUUGUCUCUACAUAAAUGACAAACAACUGAAAAAGACGGAUAAAUUCCAGCAAAUUCAAUACCCAUUGAUAGAAAAGAACUGGCAUGUCAGAAAGCAGUGUGAAUACACUGCGCUCCUCUCCUUUAUUUAGAAAAACCACACAAAAAUACAGCACUGUUGAUGUGUUUGUUACCAGGAAAGUAGAAUCAGCCACUGUGUAAAAGAUAAAAUAAGACUGCACGGAUAUCAGGAUUUUCCCAGCGUGCUGUGCUUUAUUCAUAGACAUCUGAUAGAAGAGGACCUAACAGAGCUUUUAGGAAAAACUGAAUUCUCAGCCCACAGUCACUUUCCAGGAACUUCACUGCAAACAGUGCUCUGUGCUGGCGGGAUGGAGAUCUUAGCAAUCUCCCUCCUGCUUCUAUAGUUUCCUUCUCUCUAAAUACAAUUCUUUAUGGGGACUUAAUGAGAGAGCAAGCCUUGUGUGAAAGGAACUCAAGAAAGUGAAGCUUCUAAAAAUAUACCCAGGCGGCUCUACGGUCCUUAUUGUUGCAAACUGACGUUUUGCAGUUCAUGCCAUGAACCUAACAACUCUACACACACACACACACACGAAGAAAAAAAGUAAAGACUAUGUUUUUUUCUUUCUGCAAUCCCCUAAACUUCGAGUAAACAGUAUUCAUUUUCUGUUGUCAUACUCAAUGCAAAUUUCCCAAAGAGGACACAAUACCUAACAAAAGACCUGUUACCGUCCUUAGAGCUGGGGGAAGAAUGGCAGGAGGACAGGGGCAAAGUUGAUCUUGGUCCAGCUUCUCCUGAGCCUGGGGUGCUGAACCUCCAAUCACUCUGAUCUUGCAGAGGUUUUUUGAGUUUCAGUUCCCUUUCGGGAAGGUUCCCGGGCCCCUUCUCCUCUGCGAGUCCCUUAUCAUUAAAUCCUCAUCUCUCGCCCUCUGCUUCCAGCUUUUUGGAGAAAUUGGACCUCAGCUUAGGCGUCUUUUUUCCAGUGGACUGAAAAAAGUACAGCUGCUGAUGGGAAGAUAAAUAUUAAACACAUGGGCAGGGGGGCGACGUGAGGGUCUGCCAGAGGGCCCCGUCUUCCUCAUUCCACUACGCUGGGAGGCAGCGCUCCCGGAUGGGGUGCUGAGAGGGGUGAGGGUGGGGUGAAGGGAGACGGACAGAGCAGGCAGUAAGGGAAGAAGGCCCUCUAGGAAAGAUCAUCUCGACUGAACAUGACAAGAGAAAAAAACUGGCCCACAUGCCCCUAGUGGGGAGCGAUGCACCCCACGCAGGCUGGGGGGGGGCUGCCUCGGGGCUUCUCACCUGACUUCCUCCUCCGCUGGCACAUAGACUACAAUCACCCCUUCACCGCCCCCCCCAAAAGAAAAGCUCAGCCAAACAACCAACAACAAGAGGAAGCCGCAGGCAGCAAGAGGAGGGGUGCGCGCGGUGGGGGCCCCGGCGAGGUGAGGGGGCAGGGUUGGCGAGCGGCGAGCACCGCGCCGCGCACCCCCGGGCGCACUCCCAGCGCCCACACUUACCCCUGGCAGAGGAGGGUCCGGUCUUCGGCGCCAGCCCCAGGGCGCGCCCCCCACCCGCCAUCGCCCCUCGGCCCGCCGCCCCCCACACCCCGGCCGGCGCGCUGGGAGGGAGCCUGGGAGCGGCGCGCGGCGGCGGCGGCGGCUCGGGCUCGGCUCGGCUCGGGCUCCAGCGCGCCUGCUGGUGCCGGCGGCCGCCGAGGCUCCACCGCCAGGGGGAGAAGCCGGGGCGGGCGCUGGGGAGGCGGGUUGGGCCCUCGCCGCCCCGCCGGCCAGCCCGCGCACAAGCUCCGAAGCGGCGGCGGCGCGGGGUCCGCCGAGCCCCCGGGCGCAGCGUGCCCGGCCGAGGAGCCGCGGCUGGAUGCGCGCCCCGGUGGCUGCGGGCUCCCGCGAGGGGCGCCCCGGCCGCUCCGGUGCGCCUCCAGACUGCGGGCGCGGCGGCCGCCGAGCCGAGAGCAGCUCCCGCCGGCCCCUUUCCCCCUCCCGCCCCCAGCCGCCCCCUCCCCCUCCCCUCCCCCCGGUAACAUCUCCUCCCUCCCCCCUUCUCUUCCUUCCCUCGGCCCCGCGCGCUCGCUCGCUCGCUCCUCGCCUCGCUCUCCCCUUUAAACGCCCACUUCGGAUGGGGAAAGAAGACAACUUGAAGUCAAGUUGCAAUUAACUUCCGCGGCAGCCGCAGCUCCGGCGGCGGCGGCGGCACAAGAGCAGAAGCCGCCGCCUCGGAAGUCCGACGCCGGCGCGCCCGCCCGGGGAGCCGUGCCUGGUCUCCGGCCCGCGCUCGACAGCCACUGCCGCCCCCAACGCCCAUGCCUGAGGUGUGGACACACUAACACACCUGCCCGACAGAUCCUGGCUGAACAAACUCCUUCAGGUCAUCGGUGUGACUCCUUUUGGAAGAGAAAAGGGGAGUCGAAAAGGCCGAAGGAUCAAAUGGGGAAAGGGAGAGCCUCUCUAUGCGCCCCAGAGCCGGGCUGGCAGAAAGGUGCCCGGCUGAGUAGGCUGGGGGAGUGGAAACGUUCCCCCGCCGGAUCGCGAGUAAGCUCAGCAUCCUUCCUCGGUCCACGUUCGCCUUCCUCCGCCCCCCGCUGGCGCGGCGGCUUGGGAGCGGCGGCGGAGAGGGGCCUGGGAAGUUUGCGGCAACUUCUCCAUCCCGGGAGCCACUCGGGCGCCGGGGCGCUCAAGUUGGAGUCGGGAGUUUGAAAGCCGCGGCGCUCUGCGUUUCGAGCCCUCGCCGGCGGUAGUGAGGUCCAGAAGGGGCUCCUGGCGUGAAUGUAGAUUAGGAGUUUGGCUGGAGGCAGGAAGAGGUGCUGCCCUCUUUGCGGGGACCGAGACAUCACAGGUGCGGCCUCGGGGUCCGCACCGUGUCUCCCUCCUGCGGUCCCGACCCGAGCGUGGCGGCCUUCUCCGAGCGCUCCACUGCCGAGGCUCCCGGGGCGGCAGAGCGUGGGUUUGGGCAACCACGAGGAGAGGGUCGAAGCAGGCAGGUCCGGGGAGUGACACGUGCGUUCCGGGGAAGUGCACUGAGCAGGACUCCUGGGAUGACCCCAGGAGGCAGAGAGGGGCUUAGGGCUCUAGCUGGAGGUUUUGGCCCGGACCUCCACCAGGGCGUUGCAAAUUUUAUUUACGAGUGUCAACCACAGGAUCCCCUCUCUAAGUCUCCUAGCUGGCAAUUUUGACCCCUGCGCCCUUCCUCGGCGAACUUUCUCAGCGGCAUUCCGGAUUUCCAGGCAAAUGUUGUAAGACUUGGACUCCACAUGGUUGUAAAAGAGACAGGGAAAGCAGAAAGACGUCUUACUCUCAGGAGAGAACCUUUCUGCCUUGACUGGCUGGGGUUCCAUGCUUGCAUCUCUGGAGGCCAGGGGACCUGACUUUCCCAAGAGGACAAGGAGGGGUAAGAAUGAGUAAAAUGCGACCGCACAGUGUGAGGUUUGUCCUCAGUAGUCCCGAAAAUCUACAGUGUUCGUGCUGCUGAAGUAACUCAUCCCGUUGAAACUUUAUUAAUAGACAUUUACACCUUACGUAAAGUGGAUUUUUCUGAGAUGUCAGGAAUGUAAGAUUUAUUCUGUAGUCAAACGUAGCUGCGAAAACCCCCCUUACUUGAAGACGGGAGAAAGCCAAGGUUGAGGUGUUUGCUGUAAAAACCUUUAAUCUGCUGUGUGGUACCAGUGCUGAGAUGUAGCAGCGGUCCUUUAUUUCUAUGCAUAUUAUUUUAGUAGAACAGUAGUACAUUCAUAUACUGGCUGCUCCAGUCUGCUGGCAAACAUUAGCAUUCAAGCUUACAUUUUUGACAAAUGUGCAGACAGGAAUAGCAUGAAUAGGCAUCUUAAAUAUUAACAACCUAAGCAUCUGUUGUGAAACAAAUUUAAUAUAUUUACUCUGUUUUUCUCACAUUGUUAGAAAAGGUUAUAAUAAGUGCAUAAUUUCAACUUUAGUUAGCAGAAGUAACUGGCUGUAUCUUUCACUACCUCUCCAAGUGUUUAACACGAUCACCAGACAUAAAUACUUUAACUAACUUGGUUAGGCACAUUAUUAAACACACUUUAGACAACGUGCAUCCUAUGUAAAAUGGAACAGUAGCAAAAUAUGUAUCCUAUUUGUGCACAUUUUAAAUGACUAUGCAUUUUAUAAAUAUACCGAGCAUGUUUAUUCUUCAUCUCCAUUUGACACUUAUAACUUCAUAUUUUUUCUAAUGGAAACAAUAUUUUAAGUGUAGAGUUGUUCAGUCAUAUGUAAUAUGUAAUAUGUAAACAGUAGCUACAAAAUACAAAGCAUUGUUAAAUUUGAGUAUGGCUGCAUGUAACAAGAUUAUACAAGAGAAAUAAAAAUCACUGCUCAAUUUUGUAUUCCUUUCUGAAUAAAGAAUACAAAUGAUGGAUGACAAAAGAAGAAAUAGGGAUUUCCCUUCUACAGUACUAGUGCCUUA
This 4981-nucleotide long non-coding RNA is filed under the name Equus asinus (donkey). RNAcentral's name for it is "lncRNA (ENSEASG00005026234.1)". Lineage: Eukaryota; Metazoa; Chordata; Mammalia; Perissodactyla; Equidae. The record is from RNAcentral.